AGAUGUGAGGUUGAUGUGACAGCGAUAUCUGUCACCCUGGUGGAUCACCCCUGGUUGAUGUGACUGAUCUGGCUGGCAAGGCGGGUGGCCCUUUUCUGAAUCACCACACCAUGCUCUUCCUUCCAAAGCUGCGACUUGGUCCAACAGGACACGCUUCCAGGUAGAGACAAGGGAUGGUUCCCCCUUGGAAGCUAUAUAAGUAGCUGUGCCUCCCUGCUAGAACCUCCAAGCAAACUCUCAGAAAGGAAAACUUGUAUCACUGUGUCACUGUCAUCCCAUUGUUCAUCGAUUUGCUUGAGUGGGCACCAGGAAGGUCUCCAUUGUGA
This 326-nucleotide small nuclear RNA is filed under the name Sorex araneus (European shrew). RNAcentral describes it as "7SK RNA (ENSSARG00000019449.1)". It matches the Rfam family "7SK RNA", at positions 1 to 284 of the family's 331-position model. From Rfam's summary of the family: 7SK was discovered as an abundant small nuclear RNA in the mid-70s but a possible function has only recently been suggested. Two independent studies have found that 7SK RNA binds the CDK9/cyclin T complex (known as elongation factor P-TEFb). The record is from RNAcentral. Lineage: Eukaryota; Metazoa; Chordata; Mammalia; Eulipotyphla; Soricidae.